This 430-nucleotide long non-coding RNA is filed under the name Mytilus galloprovincialis (Mediterranean mussel). Lineage: Eukaryota; Metazoa; Mollusca; Bivalvia; Mytilida; Mytilidae. The record is from RNAcentral.
GGACUAGUCUCCUUCGAUAACAAAUAUUUUGAUGCAUAUCCGCAAGUAAAACCUGGUUUUAUAGAAGCUAAUCUUUUUCUGCAAAGUUGGGUUGAGUAUUGCUGUAACAGCAACGAAAGUAAUGUCAGUCAAUUAGAGAAAGCUCGUCUGUAUGGAUUUAGAAUUAUUGAUUCUAUUUAAGGAUUAAGUAUCAGCAAUUAUUCAAUCAUAUGGUAUUAGAACAUUGUAUCACUUGAAUUUCUAUAGAACUUUAAUAAACUUUUUAACUGUAAGUUUUUGUCAUACUGCCAAGGUGUUGCCCCUCCUUUAUUUUCAGUUACAAGAAAAUCAAACUCAAUCGUAAAUAACUGUUACCCAAAAUAAACAAAACCGAUGUUCAUGGCCCGGGUUUGUUCAAAAUAAUUUCAGUAUUAAAACUACGAAAAUCCAU